Molecule: ribosomal RNA, 1060 nt
Filed under: Microbacterium paraoxydans
Lineage: Bacteria; Bacillati; Actinomycetota; Actinomycetes; Micrococcales; Microbacteriaceae
Description: bacterial SSU rRNA
Rfam family: Bacterial small subunit ribosomal RNA
Source: RNAcentral
GGCCAGCGUUAGCAUGCAGUCGAACGGUGACACCGAGCUGGCUCUGGGGGACAGUGGCGAACGGGUGAGUAACACGUGUGCCCCUGCCCCUGACUCUGGGAUAAGCGCUGGAAACGGCCUCUAAUAGUGGAUAUGUGACGUGACCGCAUGGUCUGCGUUUGGAAAGAUUUUUCGGUUGGGGAUGGGCUCGCGGCCUAUCAUCUUGUUGGUGAGGUAAUGGCUCACCAAGGACUCGACGGGUAGCCGGCCUGAGAGGGUGACCGGCCACACUGGGACUGAGACACGGCCCAGACUCCUACGGGAGGCAGCAGUGGGGAAUAUUGCACAAUGGGCGAAAGCCUGAUGCAGCAACGCCGCGUGAGGGAUGACGGCCUUCGGGUUGUAAACCUCUUUUAGCAGGGAAGAAGCGAAAGUGACGGUACCUGCAAAAAAAGCGCCGGCUAACUACGUGCCAGCAGCCGCGGUAAUACGUAGGGCGCAAGCGUUAUCCGGAAUUAUUGGGCGUAAAGAGCUCGUACGCGGUUUGUCGCGUCUGCUGUGAAAUCCCGAGGCUCAACCUCGGGCGUGCUGUGUGUACGGGCAGACUAGAGUGCGGUAGGAGAGAUUGGAAUUCCUGGUGUAGCGGUAGAAUGCACAUAUAUCGAGAAGAACACCUAUCGCAAGCGCAUAUCUCUGCGGCCAUAACUGACUCUGAGAGCGAAAGUGUGGAGAGCACACAAGCUUAUAUACUCUGGUACUCUACCCCAUAAACGUUGAGAACUAUGUGUGGGGUCUAUUACACGGACUUCUGUCGACGCAUCUAACGCAAUAUGUUCCCCCCCUGGAGGAGUACGGCCGCGACGAUACUCUCAGAAGUAGUGACGGGGACCGCACAUGCGGCAGCAGCAUGCAUAUUACUCUGAUGCACGUCGAGCAUCAUCACACGUCUUGAUCAUAUACGACACCGCCCAGAAGUGCGACACUUCUGUGCACUCGUAUAACAGUGCUUGAUGUCGUCGUCCGCUCGUGUCGUGAGAUGUUGGAUAAGUGCGACACCAGCGAAAGCGCUCCUUCUAUUUUA